GGUCUUUUGUUGAUAUAAAAGAUUUGACCUGCCCAAUGAUUUAUUUAAAUGGCUGCAGUAUUUUGACUGUACAAAGGUAGCAUAAUCAUUUGUCUUUUUAUUGAAGGCUGGUAUGAAUGGUUGGAUGAAAAAUAGUCUUUCUUUGCUUUAUAUAUUGAAUUUGAUUUUUUAGUCAAAAAGCUGAGAUGUUUUUGUAGGACGAGAAGACCCUAUAGAACUUUAUUUUUGUAAAUUAUGGUUUUUUUGGUUUAUAAAAUUUUUAUAUUUUUGUUAAAUUUUGUUGGGGUGAUGGAAAAAAUUAUAUAACUUUUUCUUUUUUUUACAUUUAUUUAUGUUUUUUUGAUCUUUUAUUAAGGAAAAUAAGAUUAAGUUACCUUAGGGAUAACAGCGUUAUUUUUUUGGAGAGUUCAUAUCGAUGAAAAAGUUUGCGACCUCGAUGUUGGAUUAAAAUAAGUGACAGGAGUAGAAUAUUGUUUUUCUGGGUCUGUUCGACCCUUAAAUUUUUACA
RNAcentral lists this ribosomal RNA (508 nucleotides) under Irbisia brachycera. RNAcentral describes it as "partial 16S ribosomal RNA". It matches the Rfam family "Bacterial large subunit ribosomal RNA", at positions 1831 to 2600 of the family's 2925-position model. The record is from RNAcentral. Lineage: Eukaryota; Metazoa; Arthropoda; Insecta; Hemiptera; Miridae.